This is a non-coding RNA of Phoenix dactylifera (date palm), 792 nucleotides long. The record is from RefSeq and is a predicted model, not a curated record. NCBI's taxonomy places the organism in Eukaryota, Viridiplantae, Streptophyta, Magnoliopsida, Arecales, Arecaceae.
UAAUCUGUCAUCAAACAAACUAACAACAUGUGCUUGGUAUGAUUUCCCUCGCAUCAUGAGAAGACUAAUAUAUCCUCAUAUGUACUUGUUUGGCUUCCCUUCGCCGCUGCUAUGCUCUUGUGAUGGUUCUUCUAUGUGGGAGCCAGCCCGCCGCCGCCGCCGCCGCCGCCCAGCUCCAGGAUCGCCCCACCAUGGUGGCUCUCCAGAGAGAGCUCACGGUGGUGGACUGGGACGGUGGGACCCCAACAGCCGAAGGUCCUACUGCUCCUGGCGCGGCGUCACCUGCACUGGCCCGAACCAAACGGUGGAGGCGCUCGACCUCCCUCGCCGCAACCUCCGAGGGAUGAGCCAAUCAGCUUGCGUUCAUACAACUGACAGGCAAGAUUUCUGAAAACUAUACUUCUGCUCUCCUGUCUCAGUUUUCAUGCGAUCAUCAUAAGAUAACCGAUCAGUGGCACGACCAUCUUCAAUAUGGGCAUGUCAUACUCUCCACCAAAGGAUCUUCCCAUUUAAAGAUAUUGGUGUCAUGUUUGGGGAGAGAACAAGUUCAACAACAACGAUCAAGAGCUCAGUUUCUACAGAUCAAUUGAGAGCUCAGUUUCUACAGAUCAAUUGAGAGAAUCCAUUCCAAGAGCAGCCAGUCUAAAAUAGCAUUACAAACAGUGUGGGCAAUUUCCAAAAACAUCAUUAAUAUUCACACCCCAAGCGUUGGCAUCCUUCGGCCCUUUGUCUCUUAAAAUCUGUAUAAGUGAUGGAUAUCAUGACUCGCUGUAUUUGAAUUACUGUCAUUGA